This 1635-nucleotide long non-coding RNA is filed under the name Homo sapiens (human). Its description in RNAcentral is "HSALNT0353921". The record is from RNAcentral. Lineage: Eukaryota; Metazoa; Chordata; Mammalia; Primates; Hominidae.
GUCGGAGUGAACCCCACGGGCGGUUCUGACUCAGCUCUCAGGGUAGGGGACAGAGAGAGAAAGUAAGGUCCGUCCACGGCGAGCAAGCAUUAUUGAGGAAGAAAGCCGCCCGCGCCCUCCAUGGCCACCUGAGCGGAUGUUCUCACCUAUUCGAGAACUAAUGGGUGUAUGUGUAAAAGGUGGGCUAGGGCCAGGCCCACGUUUUGUAAACACACAGGCCGGGCCUGUAAUCCUAGCGACUUGGGAGGCCGAGGCGGGAAGAUCACUUGAGGCCAGGAGUUCGAGACCAGCCUGGGUAGGUAACAGAGGGCAACGCCAUCUCCGUUUUUUAAAAAAAUAAAUAAUAAAAAUAAAGAAAUAAAAGGUGAGCUGGGUGGGAUGAGGAUGAUGAAGUUAGAUGACUUAGCAGCUGUUUUGUAGAAAUCCCACACUUCCAAUUCAGUUUCUCCUGGGGUGGGUAGGCAGGCAUAGGGAAAUCUGGGGAUCUCAGCCUUUGUGAGACCAAACUGGCCCUGGAUUUAGAGGUUCAUCUUUCUCUGGGGUUUCUCAUGGGUGCUAACUGUGUGUCCAAGAUUUCCAGAGCAGGACCAGAUAACAUUCAGGCUCUUUGUCUUCAUAAGUUUACUCACUCUUGUGUAUGGAUUUGGGGUUCAGAAAGUACAUCCUUUAUCUAUGGCCUUUGUUGAGCUGAAGAAUAUUUCUGGGGCGGAGUGCUAGGCAGGUCUAUGUGACUGAUGUGACUCUGCCACAAAGUGCAGGAAAGGGGGAUGCUGCAUCCUCUGGCUUUCACCUGUGUGAAGAUUUUAUACUUUAUUGAGCACACAUUAAGUGCUCUGUUUGAGAAGCUCUGCAGCGUGUUUACAAAAUUUUAAGCAUAGAUCUGUUUCUAAGUCAAGAUAGUUUCUUUCUGAGACAGGGUGUCGCUCUGUCGCCCAGGCUGGAGCAUUGGCACGAUCAUGGCUCACUGCAGCCUCCACCUCCUGAGCUCAAGCAGUCCUCCUGCCUCAGCCUCCCAAGUAGCUGUGAUCACAGGCAUGCACCACCAUGCCUGGCAAAUUUUUUUUUAGAUUUGUUUUUGUAGACACAAGGGUCUCCCUAUGUUGCCCAGGCUGGUUUUGAACUCCUGGGCUCAAGCAAUCCUCUUGCCGUGGUCUCCCAAAGUCCUGGGGUUACAGGCAUGAGCCACUGGGCCUGGCCAGGAGCUUUAUGAGUUUUUGGAAAUAAAUGCAUGACCAAAGUGCAGGCUGAUGAAUAGCACUCACAACAGGCAGUUUGCCAGAUGUCACCAAAUUUAUUGUAAGCAGUGUUUUGGUAAGCAGAAAUUGAUAUACAGAUAAGAAUGGUGGUAUUUUGGCAGCUCUGAUUAAUUGCUGGUAUCAAUGAAUGAAAAAUUUUCUUUGACAUUACUGCUUUCAGUGUCAUAUUUCAUGUGAAAUAAAUUACAGGUUAGACAAUUUCAUUUUGAAAUACAAAGAGCCACAUGACUUAGUUUUUGCAGAGUGAUGAACUCAGACAUCAUCAAAAAAUAGUUUUGUAGGAGGAAUAGUAGCCAUGCAGAAAUGCAGAAAUUAGAAGGUAUUGUCUAGGGAGCAUCAGUACAUGACUGAAUGAGACACUGAGAGAUGAAGUGCCUGU